UACGUAGGGUGCAAGCGUUGUCCGGAAUUAUUGGGCGUAAAGAGCUCGUAGGCGGUUUGUCGCGUCUGCUGUGAAAACUCAGGGCUUAACCCUGAGCUUGCAGUGGGUACGGGCAGACUAGAGUGCGGUAGGGGAGACUGGAAUUCCAGGUGUAGCGGUGAAAUGCGUAGAUAUCUGGAGGAAUACCGGUGGCGAAGGCGGCAUCCUGGACCGGCAUUGACGCUGAGGAGCGAAAGCCAGGGGAGCAAACGGG
This 253-nucleotide ribosomal RNA is filed under the name uncultured bacterium. RNAcentral describes it as "partial 16S ribosomal RNA". It matches the Rfam family "Bacterial small subunit ribosomal RNA", at positions 524 to 776 of the family's 1533-position model. The record is from RNAcentral.